RNAcentral lists this ribosomal RNA (497 nucleotides) under uncultured bacterium. RNAcentral describes it as "partial 16S ribosomal RNA". It matches the Rfam family "Bacterial small subunit ribosomal RNA", at positions 28 to 507 of the family's 1533-position model. The record is from RNAcentral.
GAUGAACGCUGGCGGCGUGCCUAAUACAUGCAAGUCGAGCGAACGGACGAGAAGCUUGCUUCUCUGAUGUUAGCGGCGGACGGGUGAGUAACACGUGGAUAACCUACCUAUAAGACUGGGAUAACUUCGGGAAACCGGAUCUAAUACCGGAUGAUAUUUUUAACCGCAUUGUUCAUAAGUGAAAGACGGUCUUGCUGUCACUUAUAGAUUGAUCCUCGCUGCAUUAGCUAGUUGGUAAGGUAACGGCUUACCAAGGCAACGAUGCAUAUCCGACCUGAGAGGGUGAUCGGCAACACUGGAACUGAGACACGGUCCAGACUCCUACGGGAGGCAGCAGUAGGGAAUCUUCCGCAAUGGGCGAAAGCAUGACGGAGCAACGCCGCGUGAGUGAUGAAGGUCUUCGGAUCGUAAAACUCUGUUAUUAGGGAAGAACAUAUGUGUAAGUAAAUGUGCACAGCUUGACGGUAACUAAUCAGAAAGCCACGGCUAACUACGUG